This 273-nucleotide ribosomal RNA is filed under the name uncultured Comamonadaceae bacterium. RNAcentral describes it as "partial 16S ribosomal RNA". It matches the Rfam family "Bacterial small subunit ribosomal RNA", at positions 524 to 796 of the family's 1533-position model. Lineage: Bacteria; Pseudomonadati; Pseudomonadota; Betaproteobacteria; Burkholderiales; Comamonadaceae. The record is from RNAcentral.
UACGUAGGGUGCGAGCGUUAAUCGGAAUUACUGGGCGUAAAGCGUGCGCAGGCGGUGAUGUAAGACAGAUGUGAAAUCCCCGGGCUCAACCUGGGAACUGCAUUUGUGACUGCAUCGCUGGAGUGCGGCAGAGGGGGAUGGAAUUCCGCGUGUAGCAGUGAAAUGCGUAGAUAUGCGGGGGAACACCGAUGGCGAAGGCAAUCCCCUGGGCCUGCACUGACGCUCAUGCACGAAAGCGUGGGGAGCAAACAGGAUUAGAAACCCUCGUAGUCC